UGAGGGAAACUGAGGCCCUGCUUAUGGUGGCCCAGAACCAGACAGGGAGAGCACACAGACCUCCUCCCUGUGUAUUUUGUGCCUCAAUAACCCCAACAGGGGAGUAGGACAAAAGAAAUAGUGGAGGCUCCAAGCAGUGACUGACUGCUGAAGUAAGGUUUGGGACUUGGGCCCCUGACUUCUGAUGAUCUCUGUCGCCUCUCUCUUCCCAUUUUCUGUACCUGGGAGAGGAUGUGGCAGUAAAGACAACAGGAGGUACUACUUGACCCAGAACUCCAGAUUAGGCCUCCAAACCAGUACAAUGGCCAAGGUCCCCCCUCACCAGGUCAGAGGCAAGGCACAUAGGAACUCAAAGCAGGCUGGGUACUUGGGGAACUAAAGGAAUGCAGCUAGAGAGCCUCAAGCCACCUCCAGGAGCUGAGUGAUCUGCUUCCAGCCUCCUGUUACCUGAGGAGGAAGAAGGCUCCAUCCUCAUUCCUCUUUCCCUGUCCCCAGCCAUGGCUCUGCUAGAGCAAUGCUCUCUCUGGGCUUCUUGCAGUUUCUCAGAAAGAGGGCAGCGUCCCUGAACCAGCUCUCAGUUCCGCACACCUUCCUCAGCAAAGCCCACCCUGCCCCACAGUGGCUCCCUCCCCAGCCCCUAGAAGGAGCUCCAUCCUCCCCUCUCACCUGAGGUGCUGCUGGUCCUCAGAUUGGAGACUAUUUAUCAGACAACCCCAUGGUUCCUGGGAUGCAGGUAAAAGCACAAGAGCACAGAGACGCACGGCUGCCCACGCACGCACGCACACACUGCUCUUGCCAGCCCUUGAGAUGCAGGGGCGCGUGGGCGGUCUUGGGCUUGCACUCUCACGCCAUAGAUGCACAAUGCCAGGGAACAGAGUGGGGGGUGGGGGUGGGGGUGGGGGCUUUAGCAGCUCUGUGGCCUGGGCAUUCCUCCACGGGCCUUCACUCCUGUCGUCCCGUUUGAACUUUGUGAAAAA
Molecule: long non-coding RNA, 977 nt
Filed under: Rattus norvegicus (Norway rat)
Lineage: Eukaryota; Metazoa; Chordata; Mammalia; Rodentia; Muridae
Description: long non-coding RNA NONRATT023206
Source: RNAcentral